GCUUCUCUUUUUCUACCAAGAUUGAUAGAUUUCAUCUAGAUGCAUCCUACUCCAAACAGCAAAUCUGAACCUACUGAAGCCAACAUAUACAGCAAGGAUCCGAAUGGCUAGGGACCAAAAGAAUAUGCAGUCAAAUCUAGUAGCCUUGCUGUGAAUAGCCAAUAGCACCACAGGUCAAAAGACCACUCAUACCACUACAGCAUCGAGAAGAUCAUUGACGAGUGAGUAGAUAUCUAUGUGGUUCUCGUGUUGGUCAUGCUCACUGUAAGUUGUUCUCUAACAAUCACCCACACCUUCACCCUAGUGUCUCUACACCGC
This 318-nucleotide long non-coding RNA is filed under the name Elaeis guineensis (African oil palm). Its description in RNAcentral is "long non-coding RNA (EGUI_LNC077229)". Lineage: Eukaryota; Viridiplantae; Streptophyta; Magnoliopsida; Arecales; Arecaceae. The record is from RNAcentral.